This 376-nucleotide ribosomal RNA is filed under the name uncultured bacterium. RNAcentral's name for it is "bacterial SSU rRNA". It matches the Rfam family "Bacterial small subunit ribosomal RNA", at positions 523 to 898 of the family's 1533-position model. The record is from RNAcentral.
AUACGUAGGUCCCGAGCGUUGUCCGGAUUUAUUGGGCGUAAAGCGAGCGCAGGCGGUUUAAUAAGUCUGAAGUUAAAGGCAGUGGCUUAACCAUUGUUCGCUUUGGAAACUGUUAAACUUGAGUGCAGAAGGGGAGAGUGGAAUUCCAUGUGUAGCGGUGAAAUGCGUAGAUAUAUGGAGGAACACCGGUGGCGAAAGCGGCUCUCUGGUCUGUAACUGACGCUGAGGCUCGAAAGCGUGGGGAGCAAACAGGAUUAGAUACCCUGGUAGUCCACGCCGUAAACGAUGAGUGCUAGGUGUUAGGCCCUUUCCGGGGCUUAGUGCCGCAGCUAACGCAUUAAGCACUCCGCCUGGGGAGUACGACCGCAAGGUUGAA